UUCGGAUUGUAGGCUGCAACCCGCCUACAUGAAGUUGGAAUUGCUAGUAAUCGCAGAUCAGAAUGCUGCGGUGAAUACGUUCCCGGGCCUUGUACACACCGCCCGUCACACCAUGGGAGCCGGUAAUACCCGAAGUCAGUAGUCUAACCGCAAGGGGGACGCUGCCGAAGGUGGGAUUGAUGACUGGGGUGAAGUCGUAACAAGGUAUC
Molecule: ribosomal RNA, 209 nt
Filed under: uncultured bacterium
Lineage: Bacteria
Description: partial 16S ribosomal RNA
Rfam family: Bacterial small subunit ribosomal RNA
Source: RNAcentral